This 466-nucleotide ribosomal RNA is filed under the name uncultured bacterium. RNAcentral describes it as "bacterial SSU rRNA". It matches the Rfam family "Bacterial small subunit ribosomal RNA", at positions 28 to 507 of the family's 1533-position model. The record is from RNAcentral.
GACGAACGCUGGCGGCGCGCCUAACACAUGCAAGUCGAACGAGAGAUGAGGAGCUUGCUCUUCAAAUCGAGUGGCGAACGGGUGAGUAACGCGUGAGGAACCUGCCUCAAAGAGGGGGACAACAGUUGGAAACGACUGCUAAUACCGCAUAAGCCCACGGCUCGGCAUCGAGCAGAGGGAAAAGGAGCAAUCCGCUUUGAGAUGGCCUCGCGUCCGAUUAGUUAGUUGGUGAGGUAACGGCUCACCAAGACCGCGAUCGGUAGCCGGACUGAGAGGUUGAACGGCCACAUUGGGACUGAGACACGGCCCAGACUCCUACGGGAGGCAGCAGUGGGGGAUAUUGCGCAAUGGGGGAAACCCUGACGCAGCAACGCCGCGUGGAGGAUGAAGGUCUUCGGAUUGUAAACCUCUGUGGACAGGGACGAUAAUGACGGUACCUGUUUAGAAAGCCACGGCUAACUACGUG